Aethina tumida (small hive beetle) is the source of this 649-nucleotide long non-coding RNA. RefSeq lists it as uncharacterized. The transcript is spliced from 3 exons. Lineage: Eukaryota; Metazoa; Arthropoda; Insecta; Coleoptera; Nitidulidae. The record is from RefSeq and is a predicted model, not a curated record.
GAUCAACAUAACCUACAAUUCCGGCGGUAACGCUUCUUUGGUUUCUUUGGUGUUAAUGAGACAAUUCAGUAUUCAUUCCACUUUUGUUGGGGUGAGACAUCAUCAAGUAAAAGGCUUCGGCCUUCACACCACAGAUACUGGGGGAGUUUCAGCGUCAAGUAGAGGUCUAAUGGAAUGAAGUACCUCAAGACAAAAUUGACCUAAUCAUUAGAUGAAUGGAGAUAUCAAUAUAAUCAUUGUUUUUAAUUCACCUACCCCAAACAGUAAAGCAGAAUUCAAUGAAAUCUAACCGCUGGGCCUCUUUUCUGUAUGAACUGAAUAUAUUUGAACAAGGAAGCUUCAAGCUUUUGGAGGGAUUUCCCAUAAAUUUCUAAGUGCUUUUAGAUUGUCAAUAACUAAUAGUAAAGUGAAGUUUUCCAGUCUUUUUUUAAAUUAACUGAACAAUGAUUACAAAGAUAAUGGUGAUGUUUUUAGUAUUUAAUUCAAUAAUGAAGUUGAGAAUUGUACUGAUGGUAAAUACAGAAGUUUUGAAAGGUUUCCUUAAUCUUUUUAUAGCAAUUAAUUAACAAAAUAUACGUUUUAAUUAUGGUUUCAAGAACUGUGGUAAAAUGCAACAUUUCUAGAAAUAAAUUAAAUUUAGAAGUUGGAA